This 472-nucleotide ribosomal RNA is filed under the name uncultured bacterium. RNAcentral's name for it is "bacterial SSU rRNA". It matches the Rfam family "Bacterial small subunit ribosomal RNA", at positions 355 to 825 of the family's 1533-position model. The record is from RNAcentral.
UGGGGAAUAUUGGACAAUGGGGGCAACCCUGAUCCAGCGAUGCCGCGUGUGUGAAGAAGGCCUGCGGGUUGUAAAGCACUUUAAUGGGGGAGGAGAGGCCUAUUGUUAAUAGCGAUAGGAAGAGACGUUACCCCAAGAAUAAGCACCGGCUAACUCUGUGCCAGCAGCCGCGGUAAUACAGAGGGUGCGAGCGUUAAUCGGAAUUACUGGGCGUAAAGGGCGCGUAGGCGGAUAGAUAAGUCAUAUGCGAAAGCCCCGGGCUUAACCUGGGAAUGGCCUAUGAUACUGUUUAUCUAGAGUAGGGUAGAGGGAAGUGGAAUUUCCGGUGUAGCGGUGAAAUGCGUAGAUAUCGGAAGGAACACCAGUGGCGAAGGCGGCUUCCUGGACUCAUACUGACGCUGAGGCGCGAGAGCGUGGGUAGCAAACAGGAUUAGAUACCCCGGUAGUCCCUGAGCGGGCUGGCAAGGCGCAU